UAUCUCUGUAGAGUCUGCAUAUCAAUAAGCGGAGGAAAAGAAACUAACAAGGAUUCCCCUAGUAACGGCGAGUGAAGCGGGAAGAGCUCAAAUUUGAAAUCUUAAAGGGUUUCCCUUUACGAAUUGUAGUUUAAAGAAGUGUUUUCUGUUGGAGUUUUGGUAAAAGUUCUUUGGAAUAGGACAUCAUAGAGGGUGAGAAUCCCGUAUUUGACCGUUACUUUCCAGCUGUGUGAUACACUUUCAAAGAGUCGGAUUGUUUGGGAAUGCAGUCCAAAAUGGGUGGUAAAUUUCAUCUAAAGCUAAAUAUUGGCGAGAGACCGAUAGCGAACAAGUACCGUGAGGGAAAGAUGAAAAGAACUUUGAAAAGAGAGUUAAACAGUACGUGAAAUUGUCAAAAGGGAAGCGUUUGACACCAGUGUUGUUUUCUCGAAAGUCAAUUAAAAAUGGCGGGAUUUUGUGUUGUAUUGACUUUAUCAGCUUUCUGCACUCUUUUUCCUGUCUUUUUUAAUGCACCUUUUCGUUUAACAAGUCAACAUCAAUUUCUUUUGUUGUAAAAGGGUCAUUGGAAGGUGGCUUUCUUUUCGGAGAAAGUGUUUAUAGCCUUGUACUUCUGCAAUCGGAGAGAUUGAGGUCUGCAGCGUAGAUCCUUCGGGGUUAGAUACACUUGUGCUAAGUUAUAGCUUUUCAUAGACAACUUGUUGAUUAUGAUUAGUCUUGUAGCUUACUCGCUUGUACUAUUUUACCUACGCUUAGGAUGUUGAGUAGCGACAUACGCAC
This 777-nucleotide ribosomal RNA is filed under the name uncultured Neocallimastigales. RNAcentral's name for it is "partial large subunit ribosomal RNA". It matches the Rfam family "Eukaryotic large subunit ribosomal RNA", at positions 24 to 649 of the family's 3401-position model. Lineage: Eukaryota; Fungi; Neocallimastigomycota; Neocallimastigomycetes; Neocallimastigales. The record is from RNAcentral.